CACCAAGCUCUGUUUGGGGUAGUUUCGGCGAAACUACCCCAAACCAGUUUCACCAAAUGGGGUAGGUUCUGAUUGGCCACUUCCAAACUACCCCAUGGGGUAGUUUUUAUUUUACCCCAAAUUUGCCAUGCAAACAGAUGCUCACGGUCCGUGAGCAUCUGAACAAGCCAAUCAAUCAGCUGUUUGCCGGCAAUUCUACCCCAAAUAUCCGACCAAAAUUACGGCUGACAUUCGUGGGUGACCUUGAAUACCGGAUGAGGAAGCCUUGAAAUAUAAACAAUAAAAAUGCACAUUCUUCACGGUGGUUAUCUACAUGCUGACGAUGUGUCUUGUUGAAAUGAUCAUAGUACUUCAACUUGUGUGAUCUAUUCAAAUUAUCAUUCGAGGUAUCUAUAUGCCUUACGGUCAAUGUGCAAAUAUCCAGCAAAUGUCAAGACGCUAACAACUGAAAUAAAAA
Molecule: long non-coding RNA, 457 nt
Organism: Amphibalanus amphitrite
Lineage: Eukaryota; Metazoa; Arthropoda; Thecostraca; Balanomorpha; Balanidae
Exons: 2
Source: RefSeq, a predicted model, not a curated record